UUUUGGAAUGGGGUCAUUGGUUUCUUCUUUAUUGCUGGAUUGUAAUUUUACUUUCUGGAGGGCUCCUGACCAUGUUUAAGGUCUGUCAGCAGAAAGAGCGGCAACUGCACCUGGAGACUGCUUCCUUUAGAGCGUGGGGUGAACCCUUGAAACAGGGGCUGUGACCUUUCCCUUUUGGUUUUUGGGGCAUCCUGACCACAUCUAAGUGCUGACAGAUGUAUGGGCAAUGUUGAUCUCUGGAGACUGUCUCCUGUGGAGCAUGAGGCUGUUAUGCACUGCUUCCAACCGUGCAGAGUUGUUUAAGGGCAUUCUGUGCACCCUUAGGUGUAAUAAGUCUUCAUCUUUAUAGGAAGCCAAGCUCUGGUUCCCAACAGCGUGAUGAAGUGAAGCCCCUGCUCUGCUGAAUACUGGGACUGGCCCAGAGAGGCUCUGACGGAUGUGGAUUAUCCCAGCUGGAGUACUUGGUACCAUUGGUGGUGAUCUCGUCCAACUGCCACACAACGAACAGGAACAUCCACAGCCAGAUCAGUGCCCAGAGCCUGACCCAGCCUCACCUUGGAAGGGACAGGGCAUCCAUCAUGUCUGGGUGUUGAAAGGCUGUUACCAGAUCACCUCGGAGCCUUCACUUCUGCAGGCUGAGCAGCUCCAGCUCUCUUUCUUCAUAGGAAAGGCGUUCCAUCCCUCGGUUCAUAUCUGUGGCCAUUCUCUGGAUGUGCUCCAACAGCUCCACGUCUGUCCUGCACUGCAGGCAUCCACAUCCACACACAGCACCUCCAGGUGAGGCCUCCCAGCACAGAGCAGAGGGGCAGGACCACCUCCCUUCGCCUGCUGACCGCACAUCUUUGGAUGGAGCCCAGCAUACGGUUGGCUUUCUGGGCUGGAAGGCGCGUUGCUGAGUGCCACUACUCAGCCUGUUGAGGUCCCUCUGGAUGGCAUCCCGUCCCUCUGGUGUGUCACCGCACCCCACAGCUCGGUGUCAUUAGGGUGCACUCCACCCUACUGUCAAUGUCACUGAUGAAGGGGCAAUCCCAGAUGUUUGUGCAAACUCAGCAAAGAACACCUUGAGAGCAGCCCCACAGAGAAGGAUCCUGGUGGGUGAGAAGCUGGACGUCAGCCAGCAGAGCGGGCUUGCAGCCUGGAAGGCCAGCUGUGUUCUGGGCUGCAUUAAAAGAGGAGCGGCCA
This is a long non-coding RNA of Tympanuchus pallidicinctus (lesser prairie-chicken), 1182 nucleotides long. RefSeq lists it as uncharacterized. The transcript has 5 exons. Lineage: Eukaryota; Metazoa; Chordata; Aves; Galliformes; Phasianidae. The record is from RefSeq and is a predicted model, not a curated record.